GCCGGCAUAACGCACGCCUACGGCGGGUCUCCCGGACGAGGAGGGCGGAGGGCGGAGACACCGAGACUGUGCAGUUGGUUACGGCCGCUUUCGGUUUGAGAGUUCUCUCCCCCGCCGCCUUCCCUCCGCCUCGCGCCAAUUAGCGGAUGUGUCUAAGCUAGCACGCUUAACCGGUGAUGUUUUUAGCUUUUAAUGAACUUAACCUGACAUGUUUCUCCGGCCUCUGAGCGAGAAGCUGUUCGGACCCCCCCCCUCCUCGCGCCGGACUCUCUAACUGACGGAGGCUAAAAUAGGAUGUGGUCGGCUGGGUCGUGGAGGAAUUUGGCCGGCUGGUCGUGUCUUUUCCUGGCUGUCGUGUCCGCGCAGUCCGAGAUUACACUGUACAAGAAGGAGGGCGAUGAAGUUGUCCUCAAUCCUGGCUCCGGGUCUGUGACCGGCCCCAUCACCAGCAUCGUGUGGAGAGAUGGUCCCAACAUUGCCAUCCAGUGGGAGGAACCUGACACGGAUAUUACUUACUAUCGUCAUUUCGAAGAUCGUGGUAGCCUGAACAUUUCAAGUGGAGAGAUGACAAUCAAAGGUCUGACGCGAGACGACAGUGCAGUGUACACGGCCGAAAUCAACAACAUCAAGGCCACUCCAACUCGUCUCACAGUCAUCUUUCCCGUCCCUGUGCCCAUUGUCACUAAAUCGUGUGAUGAUGAGCGGACCAGCUGUAUUUUGACCUGCGAAGGAAACACCACAGGUGUCGAGCUAGUCACCUACAAAUGGAGGUCAGAUGACGAAGAGUUGACAACUUCAUCUAAGGAGCACCGUGUCGAAAAGGAAAACAGUUCAAGCACAAAGGAGUUCAGCUGCGAGCUGGACAAUCCAGUCAGUCGGGAGAGCAGCAAACCCAUCCCCAACCCUUUCACCACCGCCAACACUCCUACCACCUCCACUACUCAACCUGAGGGGAAUCCGAAAAUCAGCACGGGGCUCACAGUCUUCAUCUGUCUGCUGACAGCUGUGGUAGUGCUGGGUCUUUUACACAGAUGGAAAGCAGGAAUGUGGUUCUUCCAAAAAGCGUCCAUGCCUUGGGAAGCAGACUUCUGGCGGAAGCCUAGGAGGCAACCAAGAGACGCUGCUGAGUCUAAUGGCACCACUGCGCGUCAAGAGAUGGGACAAGGAGACGAGGAAACGGCAAUGACAUAGAUGGCCCGAGGACGCCGAGUCCAGGACCCCGUUAGGCGUAAAAACGACGAUCCACAAGAUCCAGGGUGAAGCAGAAAUGUUGUAGGAAAUCCAGAAGUGCACAUGAAAUGUUACUGGAACAGUACAACGGCACUAAAGAGAGGCAGAGAAACGUUUAGACAAUACCAGGAAGCCGAGUUAAGUGCGCUUUUCCUGUGACGGACGGCAUACCUGACACCAACCGGUGUGUCGAGCUCAUUGAGUCAGCGGCCAAAGAGGAUUUGAGGCGGGUCCGGUCCGGUUCCAUGCAGCUUCUCAGCGGUAGAGUACAGUUUGGACUUGGUGGGGAGGAACUGGACUGACAAUAGAGGGGGAAAGUGGCACCAUUGUCUGGUUUGGGCUCGACCAACAAUCCGGGCUUUGUACAGUACUUUAGCACUGACUCCUCUGCAACAGCUUUGUGCUAAGUAUGCAAACUUGCUAAAAUGUUACAUUUUAAGCUCAAAGUCAAUCCAUUAUUUUUCCUUUUCUUAUUUUGAGGUUUUUUUUAUGUCUCUGAAUGUUUUUAUCUUCACUUCUGCGAACACUGACUUUAUUUACCUCUUCUUAUCGUUGAUUAAAUGUUUCCUCUGUAUUCAUCUUUUAAUUCUGAAGGACGAAUUUCAAAAUGUUUGGUUUUGCGGCUUUCCAAUGCACCGUGUGUGAAUGAAAUAGAUGGAUGACGGGUUUGUUUUGCACUUACUUUUCUUCCAUCUAAUCUAAGAGUGCAGCUUUAAAUGAUCAAAUCCAUCUGUGUUUUUAUAUAAAAACUAAUGAGUUUGAGAUUAUUUCCAAAAUUUGUGAAACUCCUUUUAACCAACGAAGCAGCACUCAUUAAUUGAAAGCGUCCGUCAAGAAUGAGCUGUGGCACUGACAUUUUUAAAAGUUUAGAAAAUUCAAAACACCCCACAUUUUUUUUUAGACACUGAGAUCACUUCAUAUUCAAACCCUGUUAACUGAUUAUUUGUUGUGGUUUGUUGCAGUGUGAGGAUAUAAAGGAUAUGUAAAUGUGUAGGAGUUUUAUAAGGGCAAUAUUUAAUAAAACCAACAAUAUCAAA
Xiphias gladius (swordfish) is the source of this 2267-nucleotide RNA transcript. RefSeq lists it as uncharacterized. NCBI's taxonomy places the organism in Eukaryota, Metazoa, Chordata, Actinopteri, Istiophoriformes, Xiphiidae. The record is from RefSeq and is a predicted model, not a curated record. The transcript has 12 exons.